Molecule: ribosomal RNA, 253 nt
Filed under: uncultured bacterium
Lineage: Bacteria
Description: partial 16S ribosomal RNA
Rfam family: Bacterial small subunit ribosomal RNA
Source: RNAcentral
UACGAAGGGGGCUAGCGUUGCUCGGAAUUACUGGGCGUAAAGCGCACGUAGGCGGAUUGUUAAGUCGGGGGUGAAAUCCUGGAGCUCAACUCCAGAACUGCCUUUGAUACUGGUGAGCUUGAGUCCGGAAGAGGUGAGUGGAACUGCGAGUGUAGAGGUGAAAUUCGUAGAUAUUCGCAAGAACACCAGUGGCGAAGGCGGCUCACUGGUCCGGUACUGACGCUGAGGUGCGAAAGCGUGGGGAGCAAACAGG